This 2017-nucleotide long non-coding RNA is filed under the name Sorghum bicolor (sorghum). RNAcentral's name for it is "long non-coding RNA (SBIC_LNC004619)". Lineage: Eukaryota; Viridiplantae; Streptophyta; Magnoliopsida; Poales; Poaceae. The record is from RNAcentral.
UAUUGCAUGUCUAAUAGGAUUCUACGAGGUUGGGUGGGACGUGGCACCUGUUGAAUGUCAUUCCCAAGAUCCUCAGUGCACUUGUAGUUGUUCUUAUCCAAAGUCCUUCCAUCUGCAUGUCCUUCCUCCACUGGGUCCCGAACCGAUCAACGUUAAACGAAGCAACUACCUUGUAAACGUCAAGCAAGGCGAAACAAUCAGACCACUAGACCUAGAAGGACUGUGAAGAAGGCGACAGAACACUGAAGAAUAACUACACCAAAAGAGCACCGAAGGGAAAACAGUUUAGCCCUCUCGGCGGAUAUCCGAUCCCUGGGCUAAAAGAAAUAGGAAUGUCUGUUCACCAAGUACAAGUCAGAGUCUUAGCCUAGCCGAUACUUCCCGGGUCAACUGAGUCAACCUGUACGGCUUUAAUAAAUAGCUUAGACUCUAACUCAUUCUAAGCAAACACCACAGCUUACGGUCUUUUGAUCCAAGUGUCAUAGGGAUCGGCAGGAAUCGAAAAGACUAUGAGUACGAGAAGUUCCGGUCUCUCUCACUCCAUACGCCAUUGUAGUUGGCGAGAGCCAAGAGAGGGUGGAAUAGAGAGAGAAGAAGGGAAAGUGGUCUACUCCUUCCAAUCCACUCGCCAUGGUAAGAGACGGGGAAUCCGAAAGAGUGACACACAAGAACACGAGUGCUCAAACUACUUGUAGGGUACCACAACCUAGGUGCACUAAAUGCACUAAGGCAUCACUAGGGUUCUUAGCGGUGCGGUUGUCACCACGAGAACCAAGAAAUGCUACGGUCGAAUAGGUACAAGCGUACAAGAGUUUAAACACGAAGAACCAAAAAGGCGGGAAAGGACACGGGAUUCAUCUUCCUUUGAUCCACUCGCCAUAGCAACAGCGGGAAUCGUAGAAAUGGAAUCAAAACACCAAACAAACAAAAGGGCUCAAUCCACAUAUUACUGGAUCUACAGGGAUUGAGAACGAGAGAAGAGGAAUGGAGUCCAUACUGUUUCGACCAACUCAUCAUGGAAUGAACGACGGUUGGAUGAAAGAGAUACGACCCCACGAUCCAAGCCUACUCGUAGGGUACCACGACUGUGCAUCUAAUCAGCACACGGCUAUUCCUAAGGCCCGUAGCGAUGCGGUUGUCACCGCUAGGUCCGAGGGAAUGCUAUAGUCGAAGUGGUGCAAGCAUACGAGGUGGUUAGGAUAAAUACGCGAGAAAUAGGGUAAAGCCGGAUGGUCAUGGCAAGGUGGACUUGCGACCAUUAGCUUCACCCAACGAGUUGGCUUCUGACUGUUAUACAAGGGUUGCUCCUAAUCUGUAUCCCACUAGACUAGAUCACAGAGAACUCGAAGGUGCGGGUAAGAACCGCGUCGUUAUGAAUAUCGAGUCCACAAAGAUCAAACCCCAGGGACGAGGAUAGGAGCUAACAAGCGUAGCGUGACGAAGUCAACUAAACACGGGGAGACGAGUUACGCUCGGCAUCGCGAUCACGGCGGGACGAACCCACGAUCGAAAUGAUCAAACGCACUACCACUUCCCCGACCGGCUCGAAGGCUCAGUCCUCAGGCAAAUAACAAAAGAAAGAACGACGACAACCCGAGAAGGGAUAUGCUUGGCACUACGACCAUGGUGAGACAACUCGCGAUCGCAACAUUCAAACACAUCACUCUCUCAACCGGCUCGAAGGCACGGUUCACAACCAACCAACCACAUGACACAAGAACCAACGCACAAAGAACCACAAUGCCGCAACCAACACAAAGACAAAGUAGAGUAGCACAUUUCCAUAGCGACCAACAGAGAUAGAUAAACGGAUAGAUAAACAGACCGGCACGAAGGCACGGCACAGGCAUAGAAUAAAUAAUUCAUGUAUCGACAAGUAUAGAUAGAUGGAUAAAGAUGAAUCAUAUAGCAAGUGAAUGAAAGCAGAAUAGGGUUUUUGUUGGCAUCGAGAAUGACGCCAACUAGGGUUCGGGGCUCGACCUUGGAGCCGAUGGGCUGUGGUAGCAGCUGCUGUUCU